GAAGGUAUAGCUCAGUGGUAGGGCGCGUGCUUAGCAUGCAUGAGGUCCUGGGUUCAAUCCCCAAUCCCUCCA
This 72-nucleotide transfer RNA is filed under the name Camelus dromedarius (Arabian camel). It matches the Rfam family "tRNA". Rfam says of the family: Transfer RNA (tRNA) molecules are approximately 80 nucleotides in length. Lineage: Eukaryota; Metazoa; Chordata; Mammalia; Artiodactyla; Camelidae. RNAcentral also lists the same sequence under 1 other name. The record is from Rfam by way of RNAcentral.